UACGGAGGGUGCAAGCGUUAUCCGGAUUCACUGGGUUUAAAGGGUGCGUAGGUGGGUCUGUAAGUCCGUGGUGAAAUCUCCAAGCUUAACUUGGAAACUGCCAUGGAUACUAUAGGUCUUGAAUACCGUGGAGGUGAGCGGAAUAUGUCAUGUAGCGGUGAAAUGCUUAGAUAUGACAUAGAACACCAAUUGCGAAGGCAGCUCACUACUCAAUCAUUGACUCCGAGGCACGAAAGCGUGGGGAUCAAACAGG
This 253-nucleotide ribosomal RNA is filed under the name uncultured bacterium. RNAcentral's name for it is "partial 16S ribosomal RNA". It matches the Rfam family "Bacterial small subunit ribosomal RNA", at positions 524 to 776 of the family's 1533-position model. The record is from RNAcentral.